GUGCCAGCCGCCGCGGUAAUACGGAGGGUGCGAGCGUUGUUCGGAAUUAUUGGGCGUAAAGGGCGCGUAGGCGGUUGUGUAAGUCAGAUGUGAAAUACUCCGGCUUAACCGGGGAACUGCGUUUGAAACUACACAGCUAGAGUACAGGAGAGGGAAAUGGAAUUCCCGGUGUAGAGGUGAAAUUCGUAGAUAUCGGGAGGAACACCAGUGGCGAAGGCGAUUUUCUGGCCUGAUACUGACGCUGAGGCGCGAAAGCGUGGGGAGCAAACAGGAUUAGAUACCCUGGUAGUCCACGCUGUAAACUGUGAACACUAGGUGUGGGAGGUGUAAUACCUUCUGUGCCGUAGCUAACGCGUUAAGUGUUCCGCCUGGGAAGUACGGCCGCAAGGUUGAAACUCAAAUGAAUUGACGG
Molecule: ribosomal RNA, 412 nt
Filed under: uncultured bacterium
Lineage: Bacteria
Description: bacterial SSU rRNA
Rfam family: Bacterial small subunit ribosomal RNA
Source: RNAcentral